Molecule: long non-coding RNA, 1178 nt
Organism: Phyllopteryx taeniolatus (common seadragon)
Lineage: Eukaryota; Metazoa; Chordata; Actinopteri; Syngnathiformes; Syngnathidae
Exons: 3
Source: RefSeq, a predicted model, not a curated record
AUGGAAGGUAACUUCACACGACACCAGUGAAAACGAAAGUAAAACGAGACAGCAUACAAAAGCGGAAUAUAUGGAACCAAAUGCUCUGUAAAACGUUGAUUCCUUUACCUACCCAUCGAUGAGUCACAAGGUGUUUGCUGGAAUGAUACUCACUCUGACAAGCAUAUGAGGAAAGGGGCCUCGGGAGUUCUCAGCUCUCCACGUGGCUCUGUGUUGCAGGAUUAACCCAUGGUAACUGCAUACUACACAACCAAUCUACAUAUACAGACAAACAAUUUGGAAAACGAUGCCAAACGUCCCUGUAGAAAUAUACUGCACAUAUGAUGGUACUCCAGCAAACUUGUACAUAUACUGUAUCAUGAUAUAAAGUACAAAAUUGCUCACUACACACACGAGACAUUAUAGAACUGCUCCUUGCUGCUGUGACUUUAAUUUGUUUGCACUAUACCCUUCAAGACCUUGUAAAGUGAAUUCAGAGAUGUGCUUCUAAAUAAAUGAUACAUGUUUGAAGAUAACUGCUGAAAUUAUGUGGAAAGACUGAGAACAAUACAGUACUGAAUUCUGAUGAUAGAGCAUUAAUCGAUUUUUCACCCUUUCAGUUUGACUUAGUUAUAAUUAAUACUUUCUACAUUCAUUUUCAUUCAAGAGUCCCAGGUUUUGUUCGAGACUCCAAGGACAAUACUAUAUACGUUGUACGAGCCUUUAUAUGUUGAGGGAUAAAGAGUGUGUUUGGCAACCAAUUCAGUGCGGCUACGGCCGCCAUUCAUGGCAGGCACGUUGCAGCUGCGUGAGAAUGUGAGGUGCGUUCAGGGGCACUGCAUAAAUAGGAGUGAAUGUGUUCUUUGGUGGUUCUUUUGUAAUGUAGUAUGUAAUUGUAAAAAUUGAUUACUAAGAAAAUUAUUUGUAUCAAAAUGCUUUAGUUAAAAAUCUGUACGAUCACAUGGUCAUAAUAUGGAAUUUAUUUUGUUUUCUAAUAUAAGAAUAGAUCAAAUAAAAUAUUUUGUUAAUAUAGUAGCCAAAGCUGCAAGGAAUGCAAAGUUAUCAAUGUCCUGUCACCCUAGUUGCUGUCAUACUGUGUUGCGUGUUUUUGUUUGCACUUUAAGGACAAAAGUCUUGUUUUUGCUUGAAUUCCUCAUUUAAAAAAAAGACUAUUCAAGUAACAUGUUUUACCUCAUGUU